RNAcentral lists this ribosomal RNA (98 nucleotides) under Streptomyces cacaoi. RNAcentral's name for it is "partial 16S ribosomal RNA". It matches the Rfam family "Bacterial small subunit ribosomal RNA", at positions 1 to 97 of the family's 1533-position model. The record is from RNAcentral. Lineage: Bacteria; Bacillati; Actinomycetota; Actinomycetes; Kitasatosporales; Streptomycetaceae.
CAUUCACGGAGAGUUUGAUCCUGGCUCAGGACGAACGCUGGCGGCGUGCUUAACACAUGCAAGUCGAACGAUGAACCGGUUUCGGCCGGGGAUUAGUG